GAUGAACGCUGGCGGCGUGCCUAAUACAUGCAAGUCGAGCGAACAGACGAGGAGCUUGCUCCUCUGACGUUAGCGGCGGACGGGUGAGUAACACGUGGAUAACCUACCUAUAAGACUGGGAUAACUUCGGGAAACCGGAGCUAAUACCGGAUAAUAUAUUGAACCGCAUGGUUCAAUAGUGAAAGACGGUUUUGCUGUCACUUAUAGAUGGAUCCGCGCCGCAUUAGCUAGUUGGUAAGGUAACGGCUUACCAAGGCAACGAUGCGAAGCCGACCUGAGAGGGGAACCGGCCCAACGGAACUCAGACACGGGCCCAGCACCCAAGGGGGGGCAGGAGGAGGGAACUUCCCGGAAGGGGGGAAAGCCUGACGGGGCACGCCCGGGGGGGUGAUGAAGGUCUUGGGAUCGUAAAACCCUGUUUUUAGGGAAGAACAAAUGUUAAAUGAACUAUGCCCGUCUGGACGUUACCUAAUCAAAAACCCCCGGCAAACUACGG
This 496-nucleotide ribosomal RNA is filed under the name uncultured bacterium. Its description in RNAcentral is "partial 16S ribosomal RNA". It matches the Rfam family "Bacterial small subunit ribosomal RNA", at positions 28 to 506 of the family's 1533-position model. The record is from RNAcentral.